This 250-nucleotide ribosomal RNA is filed under the name uncultured prokaryote. RNAcentral's name for it is "partial 16S ribosomal RNA". It matches the Rfam family "Bacterial small subunit ribosomal RNA", at positions 524 to 773 of the family's 1533-position model. The record is from RNAcentral.
UACGGAAGGUCCGGGCGUUAUCCGGAUUUAUUGGGUUUAAAGGGAGCGCAGGCGGCCUUCUAAGCGUGACGUGAAAUGUGGCGGCUCAACCGCCGAACUGCGUCGCGAACUGGCUGGCUUGAGUGGGGACGAGGCACGCGGAAUUCGUGGUGUAGCGGUGAAAUGCUUAGAUAUCACGAAGAACCCCGAUUGCGAAGGCAGCGUGCCAGGCCCUUACUGACGCUAAUGCUCGAAGGUGCGGGUAUCGAAC